This 480-nucleotide ribosomal RNA is filed under the name uncultured bacterium. RNAcentral's name for it is "bacterial SSU rRNA". It matches the Rfam family "Bacterial small subunit ribosomal RNA", at positions 28 to 505 of the family's 1533-position model. The record is from RNAcentral.
GAUGAACGCUAGCGGCAGGCCUAAUACAUGCAAGUCGAACGGUAGAUCGGGUAGCAAUACUUGAUUGAGAGUGACGUAAGGGUGCGUAACACGUAUGCAAUCUACCCUCAACAGGAGUAUAGCUCGGGGAAACUCGGAUUAACACUCCAUAACAUUACGAUGUGGCAUCACAUUGUGAUUAAAACUCCGGUGGUUGAGGAUGAGCAUGCGUCUGAUUAGUUAGUUGGAGGUGUAACGGACCCCCAAGACGAUGAUCAGUGGGGGAACUGAGAGGUUGAUCCCCCACACUGGCACUGAGAUACGGGCCAGACUCCUACGGGAGGCAGCAGUAGGGAAUAUUGGUCAAUGGGUGAGAGCCUGAACCAGCCAUGCCGCGUGCAGGAAGACGGCCUUCUGGGUUGUAAACUGCUUUUAUCUGGGAUAAAAAGCCCAUGCGUGGGACAUUGAAGGUACCAGAUGAAUAAGCACCGGCUAACUACG